AUUCCAGCUCCAAUAGCGUAUAUUAAUGUUGUUGCAGUUAAAAAGCUCGUAGUUGGAUUUCUGGUCGGAACGCCGGUCCGGCUCCGCAAGGGGUCGUGUAUUGGUUUCUCCUGCCAUCCUCAGGGGGAGCUGCGCUGGUAUUCAUUUAUCGGCGUGGUUACGCCUGUCGUUUACUGUGAACAAAUUAGAGUGUUCAAAGCAAGGUGUACUUGAAUACAUUAGCAUGGAAUAAUAAGAUAGGACCUGAGUUCUAUUUUGUUGGUUUCUAGAGCUGAGGUAAUGAUUAAUAGGGAUAGUUGGGGGCAUUCGUAUUUAACAGUCAGAGGUGAAAUUCUUGGAUUUGUUAAAGACGGACUACUGCGAAAGCAUUUGCCAAGGAUGUUUUCAUCA
Molecule: ribosomal RNA, 390 nt
Filed under: Pedinella sp.
Lineage: Eukaryota; Dictyochophyceae; Pedinellales
Description: partial small subunit ribosomal RNA
Rfam family: Eukaryotic small subunit ribosomal RNA
Source: RNAcentral